GAGGUCAUUAAAUUAAUAUAUACCGCCA
Molecule: small RNA, 28 nt
Filed under: Bombyx mori (domestic silkworm)
Lineage: Eukaryota; Metazoa; Arthropoda; Insecta; Lepidoptera; Bombycidae
Description: ovarian small RNA-15954
Source: RNAcentral